GAUGAACGCUGGCGGCGUGCCUAAUACAUGCAAGUCGAGCGAACAGAUGAGGAGCUUGCUCCUCUGACGUUAGCGGCGGACGGGUGAGUAACACGUGGAUAACCUACCUAUAAGACUGGGAUAACUUCGGGAAACCGGAGCUAAUACCGGAUAAUAUAUUGAACCGCAUGGUUCAAUAGUGAAAGACGGUUUUGCUGUCACUUAUAGAUGGAUCCGCGCCGCAUUAGCUAGUUGGUAAGGUAACGGCUUACCAAGGCAACGAUGCGUAGCCGACCUGAGAGGGUGACCGGCCACAGGGGAACUGAGACCCGGUCCAGACUCCACCGGGGGGAAGCAGUAGGGAAUCUUCCGCAAGGGGCGAAAGCCGGACGGAGCAACGCCGCGGGAGUGAUGAAGGUCUUGGGAUCGUAAAACUCUGUUAUUGGGGAAAAAAAAAUGUGUAAGUAACUAUGCACGUCUUGACGGUACCUAAUAAGAAAGCCACGGCUAACUACGUG
RNAcentral lists this ribosomal RNA (497 nucleotides) under uncultured bacterium. RNAcentral's name for it is "partial 16S ribosomal RNA". It matches the Rfam family "Bacterial small subunit ribosomal RNA", at positions 28 to 507 of the family's 1533-position model. The record is from RNAcentral.